GUCGCUGUUUGGAAAAUGGUGUACACUAUCUAGGUAUAUAAUAGUACUGGGACUGGCCAGAACAGCUCAGAAUUAGAUUCCACACUCAGGAUCAUUAAUCAAGUCAUUUUACCUCAAUAGAAUUGUUUGAAAUCCUUUUAGAGCUAGAUUUUAUACUUGUCAUUAUAGUCAUAUUAUGUGCCAUUGACUUUCAGAGACCACAGCAUCCUUAUUUCUUGCUGGAACAACUUUAAACUUCUGGAGUAUAUUCUUCUAGCUACUAUCUUGUUGUAAGCAAAUGGACAAGAAGCUGGAGUUGUCUAGAACACUGUACGCAUCCGGUAAAGUCAAGGACAUCAGUUGCUUGCAGUUCUGUUAUAGUUUAUUUAAACUGGUUGAUGUUUUUUAUGGUGAUAAAUAUGUAUGUUCUGUGUAUUGUAUGCAAAUUUCAUAGUAAAACUAUUAAAUGAAAAAUAAAUAUAAAAUAAAGUA
Molecule: long non-coding RNA, 471 nt
Filed under: Amphimedon queenslandica
Lineage: Eukaryota; Metazoa; Porifera; Demospongiae; Haplosclerida; Niphatidae
Description: uncharacterized LOC109588236
Source: RNAcentral